CAGCAUCUUAAGGCGUUACUUCAGCGCUGCCCUUUCCGAAGUCAUUAUUACUCAUUAGGUAUAUUGUGCAGAAAGCAAAGUAGGUCACGGAUGAAAAGCCCCAUCUUAGCGAGAGGCACCGGUAUUGCACAAAGCUAUUUUCAACUUUCAUGAGAUAAAAAAUGUUUUCUGUAGGAUGAAAGCUGUCACUGCCAACUUACAAAUGAAUGCCAAAUGUUUCUGAGAACUAAUGUAUCAUGAAGGAUUUCCAAGGAUUUUCAAGGUGCAGCAGAUUUCUUAACCACUGACUCUGAAUUUCCUCAAAUGGACUUUUCAAGAUAUCCCUGAAUUCAGCCAUGGCUCUUCCAGAAACCCAAAGACCCCAGAGUGCCCAAAACUGACCUCAGAAACUUGGAGACACAAAUGAUGGCCUGAUGGCCCUAUUUAUUUAUUUAACUGUGCAGCAUUAGAACACUGUGACCCAAGAACCAGUCAUCAAAGAAAGACAUGGAAUUGUUGAAUGCUUGUGAGUUGACCCCGUUUGAGUCUUUAUCUCUA
Long non-coding RNA from Lepidothrix coronata (blue-crowned manakin), 537 nucleotides. RefSeq lists it as uncharacterized. The transcript has 3 exons. The record is from RefSeq and is a predicted model, not a curated record. NCBI's taxonomy places the organism in Eukaryota, Metazoa, Chordata, Aves, Passeriformes, Pipridae.